GAAUGAACAUCAAACUAGGUUGGUCAGCCACGGUCAUAAGUCGUGGACUAUUAUUGUGAAGGCCUGCCAGCAUGAGGCCUCAUUAAGAAUGAACAUCAAACUAGGUUGAUCAGCCACGGUCAUAAGUCGUGGACUAUUAUUGUGAAGGCCUGCCAGCAUGAGGCCUCAUUAAGUGAAUGAAUGUCAAAGUAGCUUGGCCAGCCACUGUCCUAAGUCGUGGACUAUUAUUGUGAAGGACUGCCAGUACGAGGCUUCUAAUAGUGAAUGAACGUCAAACUAGUUGUGGAUGCCUGCCAGCAUGAUGCUUCAUAAAAUAUGCCACCCCGGGGAUCGCUUGAAGAAUGCCGCUUUAACCCCAACAAGCAAUGAAAUACUUGUGUAAUUGUGAGCAUGAAAUGGGGUCAAAUAAAUUCCAAAUGUUUUUCCUACUUUU
Non-coding RNA from Nerophis lumbriciformis (worm pipefish), 433 nucleotides. Lineage: Eukaryota; Metazoa; Chordata; Actinopteri; Syngnathiformes; Syngnathidae. The record is from RefSeq and is a predicted model, not a curated record.